Molecule: small nuclear RNA, 107 nt
Organism: Leptonychotes weddellii (Weddell seal)
Lineage: Eukaryota; Metazoa; Chordata; Mammalia; Carnivora; Phocidae
Source: RefSeq, a predicted model, not a curated record
GUGCUCCCUUCAGCCGCACAUGUACUGAAAUUGGAAUGAUACAGAGAAUAUUAGCAUGGCUCUUGCACAAGGAUGACAUGCAAAUUUGUGAAGUGUUCCAGAUUUUA